CUGCACAAGCUCUCUGCAAACAUGGCAUCGACCAAGGACUAAGGGGAUCCAUGCAGAGCCGGUUCCAGACUUGGUGGUUAGGAGACCAAAGCCAUCCCCCAGGAGUGUAUGCAAAUCAACACUCUAUCAAGCAUACACAGGAUCCCUCCCUGACCUGCAAGUCUUGUCUCUUGGGGAAAGACUGAAAAAAAUCAGGCCGCAACCACUGAUAUCCUCAGUGCUACAUGGCUUGUCUGAAGUCUCCAUGGUCGACUCCAGCUUCAGACCUGUGCCGCGGGGUUCACCCCUGUCCUACCAGUGUC
This is a long non-coding RNA of Gadus macrocephalus (Pacific cod), 302 nucleotides long. RefSeq lists it as uncharacterized. The record is from RefSeq and is a predicted model, not a curated record. NCBI's taxonomy places the organism in Eukaryota, Metazoa, Chordata, Actinopteri, Gadiformes, Gadidae. The transcript has 3 exons.